UUUAAGCCAGCCCCAAUACAACUAAUGGGCAUAUGCCACUAAGCCCAAGCUCAGAACGAAGUACUACUGCUGUGGGCCAGUUCUCAAAUGCCUUGACACAGAUUAUUUUACACUAGCACUGUGAUUUCUCUUUUGAAACACAUAGACUGUGUGUGAUUUCUCUUUUGAAACACAUAGACUUUGUGAGCACCAAAAUUCUAUAAAAAUCAGAUUAAAUCUUUCAGCUCGAGUAUUUUCAAACCAAAAUCCCUGGAAAUACAAUUCUACAGAGAAAAUAAAGCUCAAUAUCAUUUUAGUGGUUGAUUGGUUGUCAAUCCC
Molecule: long non-coding RNA, 318 nt
Filed under: Citrus sinensis (sweet orange)
Lineage: Eukaryota; Viridiplantae; Streptophyta; Magnoliopsida; Sapindales; Rutaceae
Description: long non-coding RNA (CSIN_LNC002780)
Source: RNAcentral